RNAcentral lists this ribosomal RNA (305 nucleotides) under uncultured bacterium. RNAcentral's name for it is "bacterial SSU rRNA". It matches the Rfam family "Bacterial small subunit ribosomal RNA", at positions 336 to 639 of the family's 1533-position model. The record is from RNAcentral.
CGCCUACGGGGGGCAGCAGUGAGGAAUAUUGGUCAAUGGGCGGGAGCCUGAACCAGCCAAGUCGCGUGAAGGAAGAAGGUACUUAGUAUUGUAAACCUCUUUUGUCGGGGAGCAAAGAGAGUCACGUGUGGCUCAUUGAGAGUACCCGAAGAAAAAGCAUCGGCUAACUCCGUGCCAGCAGCCGCGGUAAUACGGAGGAUGCGAGCGUUAUCCGGAUUUAUUGGGUUUAAAGGGUGCGCAGGCGGAAUGUCAAGUCAGCGGUAAAAUUUCGGGGCUCAACCCCGUCGUGCCGUUGAAACUGGCGU